ACGGAAGGCAGCAGUGGGGAAUAUUGCACAAUGGGCGAAAGCCUGAUGCAGCGACGCCGCGUGAGUGAAGAAGUAUCUCGGUAUGUAAAGCUCUAUCAGCAGGGAAGAAAAUGACGGUACCUGACUAAGUAGCCCCGGCUAACUACGUGCCAGCAGCCGCGGUAAUACGUAGGGGGCAAGCGUUAUCCGGAUUUACUGGGUGUAAAGGGAGCGUAGACGGUUUGGCAAGUCUGAAGUGAAAUGCGGGGGCUCAACUCCUGAACUGCUUUGGAAACUGUCGAACUAGAGUGCAGGAGAGGUAAGUGGAAUUCCUAGUGUAGCGGUGAAAUGCGUAGAUAUUAGGAGGAACACCAGUGGCGAAGGCGGCUUACUGGACUGUAACUGACGUUGAGGCUCGAAAGCGUGGGGAGCAAACAGGAUUAGAUACCCUGGUA
Molecule: ribosomal RNA, 434 nt
Filed under: uncultured Lachnospiraceae bacterium
Lineage: Bacteria; Bacillati; Bacillota; Clostridia; Lachnospirales; Lachnospiraceae
Description: partial 16S ribosomal RNA
Rfam family: Bacterial small subunit ribosomal RNA
Source: RNAcentral